Lemur catta (Ring-tailed lemur) is the source of this 760-nucleotide long non-coding RNA. RefSeq lists it as uncharacterized. The transcript has 4 exons. Lineage: Eukaryota; Metazoa; Chordata; Mammalia; Primates; Lemuridae. The record is from RefSeq and is a predicted model, not a curated record.
GGUUGCCAGGGGAGCCUGGCGAGGCUUCCACUUGAUCCUUGUGCUGAAAGAUGAGCAACAUUCCUGGCGCGCAGGCAGAAUGGAAGGGCAUUCCAGGUGGGGAACAGGAGGUGCCAAGGCACAUCAAGAUGGACAGUUUGGCCCCCUGGUGGAAAAGGAACAUUCAUCCAGCAUCCAUCAACAUCCUCCCAUCUUAGAGCACUAGCAGUGCCGUGCCGUCCCCUUUAAAGCAGCGCACAAGUCAAGAAAGGCGAAUAAUCACUCACAGCAAAUGAUGACAGUUGAAACCUAUCUUUAAAAGGUUUUCUGAGAAGUCUCCAUCCACACUGAUUUCAGCCACUGAUAAUCAGCGAUCUGGUACUAAGGAGUGAAGGUUCACCAUGAAUCAGUCCUCCGAAAACAGAAAGAAACCAGAGAUGGCAUCUGAUAAUUCCAAACAUCCUGGUGAAAGCUUAAAUAACCCAGUCAUCGUGAGAUAUUUUGUUUUGUUUCUACAUAAAAUAUCUCAACAUUUUAACAAACUUUUCAGUGAUCACAAACACAAUCAAAAGAUUUUACUGUAUUCUGACAUUGGGUGAAUAGAUCUGUCCCUUUGAGGAAUAAGCUUCCCCCACCAAAAGAAAAACAAUGAAAAACAUCAAGACGACAGAGUAAGGGGCUGAAGAGUCUAACCGUAAAACUGGAAAGCCAAGAACAUUCUAUUUCCUAUGGAUUAACAUUUACACAAACAUUAACUUCACUAAUGGAGGGCUUUUGCUAC